This is a long non-coding RNA of Pomacea canaliculata, 1517 nucleotides long. RefSeq lists it as uncharacterized. The record is from RefSeq and is a predicted model, not a curated record. NCBI's taxonomy places the organism in Eukaryota, Metazoa, Mollusca, Gastropoda, Architaenioglossa, Ampullariidae. The transcript has 2 exons.
UUCAGUCAAUUAGGUGAAUCCUCCAUUGCCUCAAGUCACUCGGUACAGUGAGUUGUAAGUGGUUCACCGUGUCAAGGCCUCGACGCGGGUGGGCGGAGCUGUCGCUUGUGACAUAACGAGGUUAUGUGAUGCAAUGCCUAUCCAGUCUGUCUCCAGCUAUCAUAAACUACUCCUGAAUUCUACAUAUCGUUCACACAUCUAGAAAAUGUGGAGUUAGCUCGAAGUCGGGGUUCCCACAGCAUCUCACAGAUGCAUGGCGACAAGGGUCUGAGCGCUGAUUGGCUGGCUGGCGGAGGCCAUGGCAGCGCGAACAAAGCUCUUGUCCUUGAACGGUGUGUUCCGAAACAGAAUAAUUUACUCUUAAGUUGACACAUCCGCUCUCAGGUUGGUGUCAACUUCACAAUCGUGACUGAAUGACCCGGUGUUACGGCCCCCGGUCUGCGCCUGCCUAUGGUCACUGACAUCUCCUGAGUGGCGAACCCAACGACGUGAAGUGCAGGGACCCCCUCCGCUUUCCUCCCAUUCUAUCCCUUCUAUGUUUUAAUUGCAUCCAGUACACUCACAGCUUUUUCCUUUCCUUCUCUCUCUUUCUUCCUCACUAGCUCUCUCCCUCCCCUUACUCCUCAGUUCCUACCUCCCCUCAUUCAUCCUAGCCUCUCCAUCCCCCCUUUCCCUAGAACAGUCGUUGCAGAAGACGAUAAUACCUCCUUAACAUAUGGCGCAUAACCUCGGCAUCGAGGAAGACGAGAGACGAUGACAACACCGCACUGGGAACUCGGUUCGACGGUGCGAGGCUAUUUUGGAAGUGACUGGACAAGAGGGACCAGAGGAUCUGGAUGUUAGCCUCCGUCCUCAAGUUCCCACGCAGUGCGUGACACUGCGGCAUGAUGUGAGCAACAGCUAACCAGACACAGAUAGACAGACCCGGACGACAAAGCUGACUCGUGAAUGAAUGAAUAUCCCUCAGAGAGAAGGGAAAUGGAAGGCCUCCUCACCCCAGCCGACAAAAAUACAACCCCUCCAAAACUAUAGAGUAAUUAACGGACAAUGACGGAGGCAGACUAUGCAUGAUGUACAAUGCAGGAGGGACUGACUCACUUUGCGGUUAAGAGGGACCCCGUCCAUCUCUGCGGUCUGGUGCCUUUGAUCCCCCCAUCCCCCGGCCAGGUAGGACUGGACCUAAUGGACGGUCUGACGGCCGAUCCGUCUCAUUCCAAGUGGCGGCGCGAACGCUCGACACAACGAGUGGGAAGACGAGGGGGAUGAAGAAGGUUGGGAGGCUGACAGCGCUGUUCCGUACUGCCGUCCCCUGCACGUCCUGCCAGACAUCCUGCCAGACAUGGCCGACACCAAGUGGCGCGGCCUAACGAGGGCUGGUCGUAACUGGAGACAAGGGGAGGCAAUCCUCCGUUGUGAUCGUUACUGUUUAUCACGUCAAGCGUCGCGGCAUAUAUUUGCGAACUUUGAACCCUUCCGUUUCGGUUGAAGCUACAAAAUAAAUCUGCUGUUUGGCAUGA